RNAcentral lists this ribosomal RNA (690 nucleotides) under Triticum aestivum (bread wheat). RNAcentral's name for it is "partial small subunit ribosomal RNA". Lineage: Eukaryota; Viridiplantae; Streptophyta; Magnoliopsida; Poales; Poaceae. The record is from RNAcentral.
AUGACUGCAUCCCCUUCUACACCACCGCAGGCCUCUACACAGUCAGGUACAUCCUCGUGGGUUCUGGAUUCUAGAGCCUCCUUUCAUAUGUCUUCUGAUUCUUCUGUGUUGUCUUCUCUCCGACCUCUUGAUUCACCUGUUAAUGUUCUUACCGCCGAUGGCACACCUCUUCCUGUUGCUAGUCGUGGUCUUCUUUCCACUCCAUCAUUUUCUGUUUCUAGUGUUUCCCAUGUUCCUCGCCUUACCAUGAAUCUUUUUUCUACUGCCCAACUCACUGAUUCUGGUUGUCGUGUCAUUCUUGAUACCGACUCUUGCUCUAUUCAGGAUUGUCGCACCAAGGCUUUGGUUGGUGCUGGCCCCCGGCGCCGUGAGUUAGAGGGCCUUUGGGAGGUUGACUGGCUUUGUGUUCCUUCCGCUGCCACCACUUCUGCCAACUCCCAUGCUCUUGCUGCCUCUUCGUCUACGUCACUGUCCGCACUCUCCUUGUUGUGGCCUCUGUUCGGCAGUGGUCUAUCUCUCAACUUGAUGUCCAGAACACUUUUCUCAAUGGCGAGUUGCGUGAGGAGGUUUACAUGCAGCCACCACCGGGGUACUAUGCUCCUGACGGUAUGGUCUGUCAACUUCGCCGCUCUCUCUAUGGUCUUCAACAGGCCCCUCGCGCCUAGUUUGAGCGCUUCGCCUCUGUGGUGA